RNAcentral lists this ribosomal RNA (1449 nucleotides) under uncultured organism. RNAcentral's name for it is "SSU rRNA". It matches the Rfam family "Bacterial small subunit ribosomal RNA". The record is from RNAcentral.
ACGCUAGCUACAGGCUUAACACAUGCAAGUCGAGGGGCAGCAUGGUCUUAGCUUGCUAAGGCCGAUGGCGACCGGCGCACGGGUGAGUAACACGUAUCCAACCUGCCGUCUACUCUUGGACAGCCUUCUGAAAGGAAGAUUAAUACAAGAUGGCAUCAUGAGUCCACAUGUUCACAUGAUUAAAGGUAUUCCGGUAGACGAUGGGGAUGCGUUCCAUUAGAUAGUAGGCGGGGUAACGGCCCACCUAGUCUUCGAUGGAUAGGGGUUCUGAGAGGAAGGUCCCCCACAUUGGAACUGAGACACGGUCCAAACUCCUACGGGAGGCAGCAGUGAGGAAUAUUGGUCAAUGGGCGAGAGCCUGAACCAGCCAAGUAGCGUGAAGGAUGACUGCCCUAUGGGUUGUAAACUUCUUUUAUAAAGGAAUAAAGUCGGGUAUGCAUACCCGUUUGCAUGUACUUUAUGAAUAAGGAUCGGCUAACUCCGUGCCAGCAGCCGCGGUAAUACGGAGGAUCCGAGCGUUAUCCGGAUUUAUUGGGUUUAAAGGGAGCGUAGAUGGAUGUUUAAGUCAGUUGUGAAAGUUUGCGGCUCAACCGUAAAAUUGCAGUUGAUACUGGAUAUCUUGAGUGCAGUUGAGGCAGGCGGAAUUCGUGGUGUAGCGAUGAAAUGCUUAGAUAUCACGAAGAACUCCGAUUGCGAAGGCAGCCUGCUAAGCUGCAACUGACAUUGAGGCUCGAAAGUGUGGGUAUCAAACAGGAUUAGAUACCCUGGUAGUCCACACGGUAAACGAUGAAUACUCGCUGUUUGCGAUAUACUGCAAGCGGCCAAGCGAAAGCGUUAAGUAUUCCACCUGGGGAGUACGCCGGCAACGGUGAAACUCAAAGGAAUUGACGGGGGCCCGCACAAGCGGAGGAACAUGUGGUUUAAUUCGAUGAUACGCGAGGAACCUUACCCGGGCUUAAAUUGCAGAUGAAUUACGGUGAAAGCCGUAAGCCGCAAGGCAUCUGUGAAGGUGCUGCAUGGUUGUCGUCAGCUCGUGCCGUGAGGUGUCGGCUUAAGUGCCAUAACGAGCGCAACCCUUGUUGUCAGUUACUAACAGGUUCUGCUGAGGACUCUGACAAGACUGCCAUCGUAAGAUGUGAGGAAGGUGGGGAUGACGUCAAAUCAGCACGGCCCUUACGUCCGGGGCUACACACGUGUUACAAUGGGGGGUACAGAGGGCCGCUACCACGCGAGUGGAUGCCAAUCCCAAAAACCUCUCUCAGUUCGGACUGGAGUCUGCAACCCGACUCCACGAAGCUGGAUUCGCUAGUAAUCGCGCAUCAGCCACGGCGCGGUGAAUACGUUCCCGGGCCUUGUACACACCGCCCGUCAAGCCAUGGGAGCCGGGGGUACCUGAAGUGCGUAACCGCGAGGAGCGCCCUAGGGUAAAACUGGUGACUGGGGCUAAGU